CCUACGGAGGGCUGCAGUGGGGAAUAUUGGACAAUGGGCGAAAGCCUGAUCCAGCCAUGCCGCGUGUGUGAAGAAGGCCUUCGGGUUGUAAAGCACUUUCAGUGGGGAAGAAAGCCUUGGGGCUAAUACCCUCGAGGAAGGACAUCACCCACAGAAGAAGCACCGGCUAACUCCGUGCCAGCAGCCGCGGUAAUACGGAGGGUGCGAGCGUUAAUCGGAAUUACUGGGCGUAAAGCGCGCGUAGGCGGUCUGAUAAGCCGGUUGUGAAAGCCCCGGGCUCAACCUGGGAACGGCAUCCGGAACUGUCAGGCUAGAGUGCAGGAGAGGAAGGUAGAAUUCCCGGUGUAGCGGUGAAAUGCGUAGAGAUCGGGAGGAAUACCAGUGGCGAAGGCGGCCUUCUGGACUGACACUGACGCUGAGGUGCGAAAGCGUGGGUAGCAAACAGGAUUACAUACCCGGGUAGUC
Molecule: ribosomal RNA, 465 nt
Filed under: Vreelandella stevensii
Lineage: Bacteria; Pseudomonadati; Pseudomonadota; Gammaproteobacteria; Oceanospirillales; Halomonadaceae
Description: partial 16S ribosomal RNA
Rfam family: Bacterial small subunit ribosomal RNA
Source: RNAcentral